This 824-nucleotide long non-coding RNA is filed under the name Lathyrus oleraceus (garden pea). RNAcentral describes it as "Pisum sativum (pea) long non-coding RNA (PSAT_LNC008605)". Lineage: Eukaryota; Viridiplantae; Streptophyta; Magnoliopsida; Fabales; Fabaceae. The record is from RNAcentral.
AUGAACAUGGAUAAUUUUCAAGAGAUCCAUGUUUCUAAUCAUCCUACUAUACCACAACUCCAAAACCAGAAACAUCAAAAGUUUCAAAGAAGCUGAAAUUGCCAAACAACAGUGUAAAGUGAGCGUCGAAGCUUAAAUCUAUGCUUGAGAGCAGUCACUUUAUAAAAAUCUUCCUCUUGUUUACUACUUUGCUCGGCACUUCCAUGGUCAUCGGUGAUGGUGUUCUCACACCUUGCAUAUCUGGUUAGUAUAAAAUGUAUUUAUACAUUGAUACAUAAUAUUGAUGUAUGCUUAAUCUUAAUCAGUAAUAGUUAAUAAUUUUUUUCAAUUGGUUGCAGUUUUAUCUGCAGUUGGAGGGAUCAAGGAAGCUGCUAGCAAAAUAAGUGAGGGUAGGUACUUUUGUUCAUAAUUUAGGAUUUAGAAUUUAUGGUUUUGUAGAUUUGGGAUUUAAGUUAAUUGCUUGUGUUGCUUGUGCAUAUGCAGAUCAAAUUGUUUGGAUAUCAGUGGCAAUCUUGAUUGUUCUUUUCAUGGUUCAGAGAUUUGGAACUGAUAAAGUUUGGAUAUGCACAAGCAACACAAGCAAUUAACUUAAAUCCCAAAUCUACAAAACCAUAAAUCCUAAAUCCUAAAUUAUGAACAAAAGUACCUACCCAGAUAUUAUGUAUCAAUUGACCAGAUAUGCAAGGUGUGAGAACACCAUCACCGAUGACCAUGGAAGUGCCAAGCAAAGUAGUAAACAAGAGGAAGAUUUUUAUAAAGUGAUUGUUCUCAAGCAUAGAUUUAAGCUUCGACGCUCUCUUUUCACUGUUGUUUGGCAAUUUCAG